GUUAAGGGGUGGAAUAACCCCUUAACCCCCAUUUUAUCCCCAAACAUCCCAAAAAAUAGGUGGAGUUAGCUAAUCCCACCUCAAAUAAAUUAUUCCGGGUUAGCUAACCCCACCUAACUCCACCAAACUCCAACCAAACACUAUUUUUUAUUCAUAAUAACCCACUAUCUUUCUUAUCACACCUAUUCCAAUCAAUCAUUAUCCUUCUUUAUCAAUCAUUAUCUUCUUAUCCCACCUACCCAACCAAACACUAUUUUUCAUUAUUCUAGACUAACUCCAAUCCCCAACCAAACACAAAAAAACUUUAACCCCAAUUUAACCCUGAACUUAACUCUAUCCCUAGAAUAACUAUUUUUUCCUUAAUCCCGAACCAAACGGAGGCUUAAGUGCUUCUAACUUUGCAUGAAAAAGAUAUAU
This 417-nucleotide long non-coding RNA is filed under the name Ananas comosus (pineapple). RNAcentral's name for it is "long non-coding RNA (ACOM_LNC007462)". Lineage: Eukaryota; Viridiplantae; Streptophyta; Magnoliopsida; Poales; Bromeliaceae. The record is from RNAcentral.